AAAAAAAUUAUUCAGGUGAAACAAUCAGUAAAACAAUCUGUAUUAAAAUACAUACGACUAUGUAUAAGUACAUAAUCAAGUGGAUAGAAGUGUAGAAUUGCCUGGUCUCUUAAGAGAGUGAGUUUUAAGAGCGGCCCAAUCUGAAGUUCCACUCAAUACGCCACGAAGAGCGGAUCGCAUCGAGAGCGAGCAGCACUGAGAAAAUGAGAGACAUUUGUGGGAGAGACUAUGUAGUUGCUGCUGUUUUAAUGCUCAACGCGUCACAUUUGCUGCGACACAUUAGGAAAGGAAACGAGUAUCUGGUAUCUGGGAGGCAGAGAGGAGGCCAACGAUUACGUAGUGGGGCGCUUGCAGGGCAUCCAAAUUCAGGUAGUGGACAGUCACAGUCUCUGGAGCUGAAUUUGUCAAAUUUCUCUAUUAUACAAAUAGGAUCUCCUUUUGUUUUUGGUUUCUGUUUAAGUUCAAGUGAAGAAUCUGUUGGCUUGAAAUGUUUUGACUAAUUCCACAUACGAGAGGUGUAAGAAAGACAGAGUUGACAUAGAAAUUCAGGAUUAUCAUCAUCGUUGCCCAGAGUAGCCCGCCCCGCAGGAACAAACGAACCAUCAACGAACGAACGAACGAGCGAACGAGCGAGCCAGCAGCGAACGAAGCGAAAGAAUGACGCCAGAAAGGAGAUGCAGAAAAACAAGUAAGGACGCGUGAGUCGAAAAGAUCGACUAUGUGAUACCCGCUACUCAGACUUGUCUGUUGCUGCUGAAGGUUGGAAAUAAGGCUGCUUUUUACACCGCAUAGCACCAGAUCAGUCGCUAUCCACGCGAAAAGAAUAUACCCCUGGCUGUGAGGAGCAGCGGGUACGAAAA
This is a long non-coding RNA of Drosophila miranda, 860 nucleotides long. RefSeq lists it as uncharacterized. The transcript has 2 exons. The record is from RefSeq and is a predicted model, not a curated record. NCBI's taxonomy places the organism in Eukaryota, Metazoa, Arthropoda, Insecta, Diptera, Drosophilidae.